UUAAGUUAUUAAGGGCGCACGGUGGAUGCCUUGGCACUAGAAGCCGAUGAAGGACGUUACUAACGACGAUAUGCUUUGGGGAGCUGUAAGUAAGCUUUGAUCCAGAGAUUUCCGAAUGGGGAAACCCAGCAUGAGUUAUGUCAUGUUAUCGAUAUGUGAAUACAUAGCAUAUCAGAAGGCACACCCGGAGAACUGAAACAUCUUAGUACCCGGAGGAAGAGAAAGAAAAUUCGAUUCCCUUAGUAGCGGCGAGCGAAACGGGAAGAGCCCAAACCAACAAGCUUGCUUGUUGGGGUUGUAGGACACUCUAUACGGAGUUACAAAGGACGACAUUAGAUGAAUCAUCUGGAAAGAUGAAUCAAAGAAGGUAAUAAUCCUGUAGUCGAAAAUGUUGUCUCUCUUGAGUGGAUCCUGAGUACGACGGAGCACGUGAAAUUCCGUCGGAAUCUGGGAGGACCAUCUCCUAAGGCUAAAUACUCUCUAGUGACCGAUAGUGAACCAGUACCGUGAGGGAAAGGUGAAAAGCACCCCGGAAGGGGAGUGAAAUAGAACCUGAAACCGUGUGCUUACAAGUAGUCAGAGCCCGUUAAUGGGUGAUGGCGUGCCUUUUGUAGAAUGAACCGGCGAGUUACGAUUUGAUGCAAGGUUAAGCAGUAAAUGUGGAGCCGUAGCGAAAGCGAGUCUGAAUAGGGCGUUUAGUAUUUGGUCGUAGACCCGAAACCAGGUGAUCUACCCUUGGUCAGGUUGAAGUUCAGGUAACACUGAAUGGAGGACCGAACCGACUUACGUUGAAAAGUGAGCGGAUGAACUGAGGGUAGCGGAGAAAUUCCAAUCGAACCUGGAGAUAGCUGGUUCUCUCCGAAAUAGCUUUAGGGCUAGCCUCAAGUGAUGAUUAUUGGAGGUAGAGCACUGUUUGGACGAGGGGCCCCUCUCGGGUUACCGAAUUCAGACAAACUCCGAAUGCCAAUUAAUUUAACUUGGGAGUCAGAACAUGGGUGAUAAGGUCCGUGUUCGAAAGGGAAACAGCCCAGACCACCAGCUAAGGUCCCAAAAUAUAUGUUAAGUGGAAAAGGAUGUGGCGUUGCCCAGACAACUAGGAUGUUGGCUUAGAAGCAGCCAUCAUUUAAAGAGUGCGUAAUAGCUCACUAGUCGAGUGACACUGCGCCGAAAAUGUACCGGGGCUAAACAUAUUACCGAAGCUGUGGAUUGUCCUUUGGACAAUGGUAGGAGAGCGUUCUAAGGGCGUUGAAGCAUGAUCGUAAGGACAUGUGGAGCGCUUAGAAGUGAGAAUGCCGGUGUGAGUAGCGAAAGACGGGUGAGAAUCCCGUCCACCGAUUGACUAAGGUUUCCAGAGGAAGGCUCGUCCGCUCUGGGUUAGUCGGGUCCUAAGCUGAGGCCGACAGGCGUAGGCGAUGGAUAACAGGUUGAUAUUCCUGUACCACCUAUAAUCGUUUUAAUCGAUGGGGGGACGCAGUAGGAUAGGCGAAGCGUGCGAUUGGAUUGCACGUCUAAGCAGUAAGGCUGAGUAUUAGGCAAAUCCGGUACUCGUUAAGGCUGAGCUGUGAUGGGGAGAAGACAUUGUGUCUUCGAGUCGUUGAUUUCACACUGCCGAGAAAAGCCUCUAGAUAGAAAAUAGGUGCCCGUACCGCAAACCGACACAGGUAGUCAAGAUGAGAAUUCUAAGGUGAGCGAGCGAACUCUCGUUAAGGAACUCGGCAAAAUGACCCCGUAACUUCGGGAGAAGGGGUGCUCUUUAGGGUUAACGCCCAGAAGAGCCGCAGUGAAUAGGCCCAAGCGACUGUUUAUCAAAAACACAGGUCUCUGCUAAACCGUAAGGUGAUGUAUAGGGGCUGACGCCUGCCCGGUGCUGGAAGGUUAAGAGGAGUGGUUAGCUUCUGCGAAGCUACGAAUCGAAGCCCCAGUAAACGGCGGCCGUAACUAUAACGGUCCUAAGGUAGCGAAAUUCCUUGUCGGGUAAGUUCCGACCCGCACGAAAGGCGUAACGAUUUGGGCACUGUCUCAACGAGAGACUCGGUGAAAUCAUAGUACCUGUGAAGAUGCAGGUUACCCGCGACAGGACGGAAAGACCCCGUGGAGCUUUACUGUAGCCUGAUAUUGAAAUUCGGCACAGCUUGUACAGGAUAGGUAGGAGCCUUUGAAACGUGAGCGCUAGCUUACGUGGAGGCGCUGGUGGGAUACUACCCUAGCUGUGUUGGCUUUCUAACCCGCACCACUUAUCGUGGUGGGAGACAGUGUCAGGCGGGCAGUUUGACUGGGGCGGUCGCCUCCUAAAAGGUAACGGAGGCGCUCAAAGGUUCCCUCAGAAUGGUUGGAAAUCAUUCAUAGAGUGUAAAGGCAUAAGGGAGCUUGACUGCGAGACCUACAAGUCGAGCAGGGUCGAAAGACGGACUUAGUGAUCCGGUGGUUCCGCAUGGAAGGGCCAUCGCUCAACGGAUAAAAGCUACCCCGGGGAUAACAGGCUUAUCUCCCCCAAGAGUUCACAUCGACGGGGAGGUUUGGCACCUCGAUGUCGGCUCAUCGCAUCCUGGGGCUGUAGUCGGUCCCAAGGGUUGGGCUGUUCGCCCAUUAAAGCGGUACGCGAGCUGGGUUCAGAACGUCGUGAGACAGUUCGGUCCCUAUCCGUCGUGGGCGUAGGAAAUUUGAGAGGAGCUGUCCUUAGUACGAGAGGACCGGGAUGGACAUACCUCUGGUGUACCAGUUGUCGUGCCAACGGCAUAGCUGGGUAGCUAUGUGUGGACGGGAUAAGUGCUGAAAGCAUCUAAGCAUGAAGCCCCCCUCAAGAUGAGAUUUCCCAACUUCGGUUAUAAGAUCCCUCAAAGAUGAUGAGGUUAACUUACGUUCCGCUAGAGUAGAACGUUGCCAGGCAAAAAAUGGAUGCGAUGAGCCGCAUUGAGACCGCAAGGUCUUUUUUUUUAUGUCUAAAGUUA
This 2948-nucleotide ribosomal RNA is filed under the name Staphylococcus aureus. RNAcentral's name for it is "23S ribosomal RNA". It matches the Rfam family "Bacterial large subunit ribosomal RNA". Lineage: Bacteria; Bacillati; Bacillota; Bacilli; Caryophanales; Staphylococcaceae. The record is from RNAcentral.